UGAUUUUUGGAGUUGAGGUCACAACAGUUUAUGAAUUAGGGGCCAAAAAGGGGCCCAAAUAAGCAUUAUUUUUGGUUUUUGCACCAUAACUUUAGUAUAAGUAAAUAGAAAUCUAUGAAAUUUAAAUACAAGGUUUAUGACCAUAAAAGGAAGGUUGGGUUUGAUUUUGGGAGUUUUGGUCCUAACAGUUUAGGAAUAAGGGGCCCAAAGGGUCCAAAAUUGAACUUUGUGUGAUUUCAUCAAAAAUUGAAUAAUUGGGGUUCUUUGAUAUGCCGAAUUUAACUAUGUAUGUAGUUUCUUAAUUUUUGAUCCCGUUUUCAAAUUGGUCUACAUUAAGGUCCAAAGGGUC
RNAcentral lists this long non-coding RNA (349 nucleotides) under Mytilus galloprovincialis (Mediterranean mussel). Lineage: Eukaryota; Metazoa; Mollusca; Bivalvia; Mytilida; Mytilidae. The record is from RNAcentral.